Molecule: ribosomal RNA, 567 nt
Filed under: uncultured bacterium
Lineage: Bacteria
Description: bacterial SSU rRNA
Rfam family: Bacterial small subunit ribosomal RNA
Source: RNAcentral
CCUACGGGAGGCAGCAGUGGGGAAUAUUGCACAAUGGGCGCAAGCCUGAUGCAGCGACGCCGCGUGAGGGAUGACGGCCUUCGGGUUGUAAACCUCUUUCAGUAGGGAAGGAGCGAAAGUGACGGUACCUGCAGAAGAAGCGCCGGCUAACUACGUGCCAGCAGCCGCGGUAAUACGUAGGGCGCAAGCGUUAUCCGGAAUUAUUGGGCGUAAAGAGCUCGUAGGCGGUUUGUCGCGUCUGCCGUGAAAGUCCGGGGCUCAACUCCGGAUCUGCGGUGGGUACGGGCAGACUAGAGUGAUGUAGGGGAGACUGGAAUUCCUGGUGUAGCGGUGAAAUGCGCAGAUAUCAGGAGGAACACCGAUGGCGAAGGCAGGUCUCUGGGCAUUAACUGACGCUGAGGAGCGAAAGCAUGGGGAGCGAACAGGAUUAGAUACCCUGGUAGUCCAUGCCGUAAACGUUGGGCACUAGGUGUGGGGGACAUUCCACGUUUUCCGCGCCGUAGCUAACGCAUUAAGUGCCCCGCCUGGGGAGUACGGCCGCAGGCAAAACGUCAAAUGAAUUGACGG